RNAcentral lists this ribosomal RNA (503 nucleotides) under uncultured bacterium. Its description in RNAcentral is "partial 16S ribosomal RNA". It matches the Rfam family "Bacterial small subunit ribosomal RNA", at positions 30 to 523 of the family's 1533-position model. The record is from RNAcentral.
AUUGAACGCUGGCGGCAGGCUUAACACAUGCAAGUCGAGCGGGGUGAUGGUGCUUGCACUAUCACUUAGCGGCGGACGGGUGAGUAAUGCUUAGGAAUCUGCCUAUUAGUGGGGGACAACAUCUCGAAAGGGAUGCUAAUACCGCAUACGUCCUACGGGAGAAAGCAGGGGACCACUGGUGACCUUGCGCUAAUAGAUGAGCCUAAGUCGGAUUAGCUAGUUGGUGGGGUAAAGGCCUACCAAGGCGACGAUCUGUAGCGGGUCUGAGAGGAUGAUCCGCCACACUGGGACUGAGACACGGCCCAGACUCCUACGGGAGGCAGCAGUGGGGAAUAUUGGACAAUGGGGGGAACCCUGAUCCAGCCAUGCCGCGUGUGUGAAGAAGGCCUUAUGGUUGUAAAGCACUUUAAGCGAGGAGGAGGCUCUUUUGGUUAAUACCCAAGAUGAGUGGACGUUACUCGCAGAAUAAGCACCGGCUAACUCUGUGCCAGCCGCCGCCGUAA